This 72-nucleotide transfer RNA is filed under the name Vibrio pectenicida. RNAcentral describes it as "tRNA-Lys". It matches the Rfam family "tRNA". From Rfam's summary of the family: Transfer RNA (tRNA) molecules are approximately 80 nucleotides in length. Their secondary structure includes four short double-helical elements and three loops (D, anti-codon, and T loops). Further hydrogen bonds mediate the characteristic L-shaped molecular structure. tRNAs have two regions of fundamental functional importance: the anti-codon, which is responsible for specific mRNA codon recognition, and the 3' end, to which the tRNAs corresponding amino acid is attached (by aminoacyl-tRNA synthetases). tRNAs cope with the degeneracy of the genetic code in two manners: having more than one tRNA (with a specific anti-codon) for a particular amino acid; and 'wobble' base-pairing, i.e. permitting non-standard base-pairing at the 3rd anti-codon position. Lineage: Bacteria; Pseudomonadati; Pseudomonadota; Gammaproteobacteria; Vibrionales; Vibrionaceae. The record is from RNAcentral.
GGUUUGCUCAGUUGGUAGAGCAGUUGACUUUUAAUCAAUUGGUCGCAGGUUCGAAUCCUGCACGACCCACCA